ACUGCGCAUGCGCUCUGGUUGGCCUGUCCGUCUUGAGGCGGGGCGCCAGGGCAGUUUUUUUUUCUUUGCUCCCGCCCCUGCGCUUCCCACCUGCCACGUACGGGACCGCGGCUCUUGCUAGGCUCGUUGGGUGUGUGCGAUUGGCCAGGUCCGCGCAGCCUGCAGCUCGGCGACGAUCGGCGGAGGGCGGCCGGGUGGACGGUGUCGGUAGCCUCCCUGCGACACUGCGGAGCCCGCGGCGGCCUCGUAGCGACCCGGUCAGCUGAGGCGGCGGCCUGGGCAAGCCGUUUUUCCCCUAGAGUUAUAUAUAUAGAGCAUCCUGGAGUCCACAAUGAACGGACAGUUGGACCUAAGUGGGAAGCUGAUUAUCAAAGCUCAACUUGGAGAAGAUAUCCGGCGAAUUCCCAUUCAUAAUGAAGACAUUACUUAUGAUGAAUUAGUGCUGAUGAUGCAGCGAGUAUUCAGAGGAAAGCUUCUGAGUAAUGAUGAAGUUACAAUAAAGUAUAAGGAUGAGGAUGGAGAUCUUAUAACAAUUUUUGAUAGUUCUGACCUUUCCUUUGCAAUUCAGUGUAGUAGAAUACUGAAACUGACAUUAUUUGUUAAUGGCCAGCCAAGACCCCUUGAAUCAAGUCAGGUGAAAUAUCUUCGUCGAGAACUGAUAGAACUUCGGAAUAAAGUGAAUCGCUUAUUGGACAGCUUAGAGCCGCCUGGAGAACCAGGGCCUUCCACCAGUAUUCCUGAAAAUGAUACUGUGGAUGGUAGGGAAGAAAAGCCUGCUGCUUCUGAUUCUUCUGGGAAACAGUCUACUCAGGUUAUGGCAGCAAGUAUGUCAGCUUUUGAUCCUCUAAAAAACCAAGAUGAAAUCAACAAAAAUGUCAUGUCAGCAUUUGGAUUAACAGACGACCAGGUUUCAGGACCACCCAGUGCUCCUACAGAAGACCGUUCCGGAACACCUGACAGCAUUGCUUCUUCCUCUUCGGCAGCACACCCAGCAGCAGGUCAGCCACAGCAACCUCCCUAUGCAGGAGCUCAGACACAAGCAGGUCAGAUUGAAGGUCAGAUGUACCAACAGUACCAGCAGCAGGCUGGCUACAGUGCACAGCAGCCUCAGGCCCCUCCUCAGCAGUACGGUAUUCAGUAUUCAGGUGAGGAGGUGAUGGAAGAGCUGAUGCUAAGUUCUUCUCCUAAGUACUUGAUUUAUGAUAUUUACACUGUCGUAAGUGCUAAGUACUUGUUAGGGCACACAAUACUUAUUUAUAUUUAAAGUGAUAUGUUUUUUCAAAUCAGCAUUUUACUUUUUUAGUGAGUAAAUACAACAUAAUUAUAGAGAUGAUUCUGUAGUAAGCUACAGUAAAAAAAAUGUUUUACUACAAAGCUCUCUUUCUAACAAUCUAAAAAAUAAAAAAAUAAGGAUUUUCUUCUAUCCAUAUCACUCAAUUCUAGAGUACUCUUAGAAGUUGUAGAGGCAUAUCAACAAUUUCCCCAUACAUGCAGAAACGAACUUAAUAAAAACUAAAUUGUUUCAUUUAAGCCUACUGAAAAGUAUGGUAAAAUACCAAAAAUAAAACAUGCAAAUAAAAUUACAGUCGAAUUCAGGCAACUAAGAGUAUUUAGGUUUUAACUGCUGAGGUGAAGUGACAGUUGUCAUCUGACCCAGGGGAUUUCAUCACAUAGCAAGUCUGGUCACCUGAGAGCUUUUUAUAGCUGAUCGCAUUCCUGUACAUGCGACCAUCUGUCCACUGAAGACUUAUCUAUAUUUAAUGUGAUAAAUUUCUUUUGUUUAGUUUUAGUUAUAAUUUAGGUACUUUUUCUUGUUACAUCAGAGUGUCCCUCUACCAUGUAUAGUCAAAGAUUAAGUAACUUAACAAAAUUCCUUUGAGAGUUUUGUAUUAACUAGAGUAUGAGAGUAUAGAUCAGCUAAUUAUAGAUACAUAGCUAUAGGUGGAUAGCUAUAGGUAAGCUAUAGCAGGUACAGCUACAGUGUAAUUCUGCUACUGCCUGGUUUGGUAAAGGAAGCUUUAUUAUACACUUGUACCUUACAUGUUUCUCAGUUAUACCUGUUGCUGUUGCACUUUGGCACUGUACUGACAGAGUAGAGUGAGUAGUUGGAACAGUGAGAGAAGUAUUGUGGCCCACAACACCUAAAAUAUUUACUGUCUGGCCCUUUAAAAGAGGCUGAACUUUCAUGUUUCACUGGUGCAGGCAAUUGCUGAUUGCUGACCUAGACUACAGAAUUUUGUCAGUACUUAAGUUUGGUAGAUUUUUACACAUACAGUAAUUUCUUGGGAUUGUUUUUGCUGUAGAGUGAUUUUAUUUUAUAGCUAAAUCUAAUUUAAAAAACAGAUGGAGUGAAUUUAAAGGGGAUGUCACUUUAGUUACCCUUUUAAAUAAAAAAAAUAUAUGGUACAAAUUAUAUAACAUAGAAACAAUAGGCUGAGGAAUCUGAAGAGAUCAGUGUCAUUAUCUAAUCUAGGAGAUGCUCUCAACUCUCAUAGCCUCCUCCCUGGGCCCUAUUCCUAUAGACAUCAGUUUGCUUGGAGGUGGGACUUAGGUAUCACAGGUAGCCAAGAUGAGGACCCCUGAUCUUGGUCUACACCCAUUUUAUAAAUGACUUUUCAAGGCAUGCAGAUAUUCAGUGAGGGGGCUGGAACAUAAUGUAUUUCUCUUGUCUUUAUACCAUUUUAUAUUCUCCAAUCUAGACCAGAAUGGUCAAUAUUUUAGGCUUAGUUAUAGCUAUGUAUUAAUUUAAAAAUAUCUAUUACCUAUUUUGUUGCAAUUUGUGAUGUUUUUCACCUAACGUUAAUUCAUUUUAGGAGUGUUGGGAUGGUGUAGGAAUGGAGACAAAUAGAAAUAACAGAGAAAUAUUGCUGCAUUAUGAUUAAUGACGCAGUAGACUGCUACUGAAAUGCUGUUGUUACCAUUUAUUACUGUUUCCUUUCCUGAGCAGUAAUUAAGACUCUAGGUGCUUCCCAGAUCAAUUUAAAAAACAGUUUAGAUUUCAGUUGGAGGAUAGUUGGAGGAUAGUUGCUUUCCUCUCAAAUGGGAUAGUCAUUUUCAAAAUAAAGGUAUUCCCAAAAACUUACAGUAGAAAAUUACAUUUGGAAAUUUUUGUCGGGACUGACAAGUUGGUUCGGAAGUUGAGAGCGCUUGCUGUCUUCCAGAGUAACUGAGCUCAGAUUUUAGCAUCCAUGGUGAUGGCAGCUCAUAGCCAUCAGACAUGUCCAUGUCCUUCCUCUUCUGGCUUUCAUGGGUAGGCACAUACACACACACACAAUUUUAAGUUUAGCACAGAAGAGAGGAGAAAUUACGUGACAUCCAAGAUCUUAUAAGUUUAUUUUAAUUCAGCAUUCAGGUACUACUGUGAGUGAAUUGCUUUAGCUACUGAAACCUAAGCUUCCUCUGGGAAGGUUUAGGGUUUUCACUGAGUAAGAUUUUAGUACUUUUCAAAUUGCUUCUGUAUUUCUCAUCCUGCUAGUCCUAUUUCCUCGACUUUGAGAGCUAUGGAAAUAGAUAACUAAUUACUCUGCAUGGAGACUUACUAGUGGUGCUGGUUGGUAGUGACAUUGACCAAUCUCUGAUACUUUUGGUUUGCCAGUUUUCCCUCUGACUUUUUCCAGUUUUGUCCAUAAAGGUUUCUUUCAUAAGUAAAUUUUGAACCCAGGUUCAAGGAUUCCAGUCAAUGGAGAGGUUUCAUUGCAAGUAGCUGCAGCUAGUUACAGCCAGCAGACUGGACCCCAACAACCUCAGCA
Molecule: non-coding RNA, 3749 nt
Organism: Rattus norvegicus (Norway rat)
Lineage: Eukaryota; Metazoa; Chordata; Mammalia; Rodentia; Muridae
Source: RefSeq, a predicted model, not a curated record